This 503-nucleotide ribosomal RNA is filed under the name uncultured bacterium. Its description in RNAcentral is "partial 16S ribosomal RNA". It matches the Rfam family "Bacterial small subunit ribosomal RNA", at positions 30 to 523 of the family's 1533-position model. The record is from RNAcentral.
AUUGAACGCUGGCGGCAGGCUUAACACAUGCAAGUCGAGCGGGGUGAUGGUGCUUGCACUAUCACUUAGCGGCGGACGGGUGAGUAAUGCUUAGGAAUCUGCCAAUUAGUGGGGGACAACAUCUCGAAAGGGAUGCUAACACCGCAUACGUCCUACGGGAGAAAGCAGGGGAUCACUUGUGACCUUGCGCUAAUAGAGGAGCCUAAGUGGGAUUAGCUAGUUGGUGGGGUAAGGGCCUACCAAGGCGACGAUCUGUAGCGGGUCUGAGGGGAUGAUCCGCCACACUGGGACGGAGACACGGCCCAGACUCCUACGGGAGGCAGCAGUGGGGAAUAUUGGACAAUGGGGGGAACCCUGAUCCAGCCAUGCCGCGUGUGUGAAGAAGGCCUUAUGGUUGUAAAGCACUUUAAGCGAGGAGGAGGCUCUUUUGGUUAAUACCCAAGAUGAGUGGACGUUACUCGCAGAAUAAGCACCGGCUAACUCUGUGCCAGCAGCCGCCGUAA